Molecule: ribosomal RNA, 450 nt
Filed under: uncultured bacterium
Lineage: Bacteria
Description: partial 16S ribosomal RNA
Rfam family: Bacterial small subunit ribosomal RNA
Source: RNAcentral
GUGAGGAAUAUUGCGCAAUGGAGGCAACUCUGACGCAGCCAUGCCGCGUGCAGGAUGAAGGCCUUCGGGUUGUAAACUGCUUUUGUACGGAACGAAAAGCCUCUGGUUAAUACCCGGGGGUCAUGACGGUACCGUAAGAAUAAGCACCGGCUAACUACGUGCCAGCAGCCGCGGUAAUACGUAGGGUGCGAGCGUUAAUCGGAAUUACUGGGCGUAAAGCGUGCGCAGGCGGUGAUGUAAGACAGUUGUGAAAUCCCCGGGCUCAACCUGGGAACUGCAUCUGUGACUGCAUUGCUGGAGUGCGGCAGAGGGGGAUGGAAUUCCGCGUGUAGCAGUGAAAUGCGUAGAUAUGCGGAGGAACACCGAUGGCGAAGGCAAUCCCCUGGGCCUGCACUGACGCUCAUGCACGAAAGCGUGGGGAGCAAACAGGAUUAGAAACCCCUGUAGUCC